CCUACGGGAGGCAGCAGUGGGGAAUAUUGCGCAAUGGGCGAAAGCCUGACGCAGCGACGCCGCGUGAGGGAUGAAGGUCUUCGGAUCGUAAACCUCUGUCAGCAGGGAAGAACGGUCACUGUGCUAAUCAGCAGUGAAUUGACGGUACCUGCAAAGGAAGCACCGGCUAACUCCGUGCCAGCAGCCGCGGUAAUACGGAGGGUGCGAGCGUUAAUCGGAAUUACUGGGCGUAAAGCGAUCGUAGGCGGUAUGUCAAGUCAAGGGUGAAAUCCCCGGGCUCAACGUGGGAACUGCCUUUGAAACUGGCAGACUGGAGUGUGUGAGAGGAUAGUGGAAUUCCAGGUGUAGGGGUGAAAUCCGUAGAUAUCUGGAGGAACAUCAGUGGCGAAGGCGACUAUCUGGCACAUAACUGACGCUGAGGAGCGAAAGCGUGGGUAGCAAACAGGAUUAGAUACCCGGGUAGUC
Molecule: ribosomal RNA, 465 nt
Filed under: uncultured bacterium
Lineage: Bacteria
Description: partial 16S ribosomal RNA
Rfam family: Bacterial small subunit ribosomal RNA
Source: RNAcentral